CCCUUAGAUGUCCUGGGCCGCACGCGCGUUACACUGAUGCAUUCAACGAGCUUAUAACCUUGGCCGAGAGGCCUGGGCAAUCUUGUUAACGUGCAUCGUGAUAGGGAUAGAUUAUUGAAAUUAUUAAUCUUGAACGAGGAAUUCCUAGUAAACGCAGAUCAUCAAUCUGCAUUGAUUACGUCCCUGCCCUUUGUACACACCGCCCGUCGCUACUACCGAUUGAAUGGUUUAGUGAGAAUUUUGGACUGGAACUCCCUUGCUCAGCAAUGGGCGAGGGGGAGUCCGGGAAGCUAUUCUAACUGUAUCAUUUAGAGGAAGUAAAAGUCGUAACA
Molecule: ribosomal RNA, 332 nt
Filed under: uncultured eukaryote
Lineage: Eukaryota
Description: partial 18S ribosomal RNA
Rfam family: Eukaryotic small subunit ribosomal RNA
Source: RNAcentral